RNAcentral lists this ribosomal RNA (500 nucleotides) under uncultured Glomeromycotina. RNAcentral describes it as "partial small subunit ribosomal RNA". It matches the Rfam family "Eukaryotic small subunit ribosomal RNA", at positions 591 to 1092 of the family's 1831-position model. The record is from RNAcentral. Lineage: Eukaryota; Fungi; Glomeromycota.
CCAAUAGCGUAUAUUAAAGUUGUUGCAGUUAAAAAGCUCGUAGUUGAAUUUCGGGGUUAGUACGCUGGUCGUGCCUUCGGUAUGUACUGGUGUUUCUGAUUCCUACCUUCUGAAGAACCGUCAUGUCAUUAAUUUGGUGUGGCGGGGAAUCAGGACUGUUACUUUGAAAAAAUUAGAGUGUUUAAAGCAGGCUCGCGCUUGAAUACAUUAGAAUGGAAUAAUGAAAUAGGACGUUCGAUCCUAUUUUGUUGGUUUCUAGGAUUGACGUAAUGAUUAAUAGGGAUAGUUGGGGGCAUUAGUAUUCAAUUGUCAGAGGUGAAAUUCUUGGAUUUAUUGAAGACUAACUACUGCGAAAGCAUUUGCCAAGGAUGUUUUCAUUAAUCAAGAACGAAAGUUAGGGGAUCGAAGACGAUCAGAUACCGUCGUAGUCUUAACCAUAAACUAUGCCGACUAGGGAUCGGAUGAUGUUAAUUUUUUAAUGACUCAUUCGGCGCCUUACG